UCAAAAAAAUUGAAGGAAUUAAGAGCGCACAGUGGAUGCCUUGGCACCAAGAGCCGAUGAAGGACGCAAUUAACGGCGAUACGCCACGGGGAGUUGUAAAUAAAUGAAGAUCCGUGGAUUUCCGAAUGGGGAAACCGUACGUAUAAUAACAUUAUAGUUUUUUGAUUUUCGAAUCAAAAAGGGAUACGCAGUAAGUCCU
This 199-nucleotide ribosomal RNA is filed under the name Sugarcane yellows phytoplasma type I. Its description in RNAcentral is "partial 23S ribosomal RNA". It matches the Rfam family "Bacterial large subunit ribosomal RNA", at positions 1 to 196 of the family's 2925-position model. Lineage: Bacteria; Bacillati; Mycoplasmatota; Mollicutes; Acholeplasmatales; Acholeplasmataceae. The record is from RNAcentral.